RNAcentral lists this ribosomal RNA (505 nucleotides) under uncultured bacterium. RNAcentral's name for it is "partial 16S ribosomal RNA". It matches the Rfam family "Bacterial small subunit ribosomal RNA", at positions 28 to 507 of the family's 1533-position model. The record is from RNAcentral.
GACGAACGCUGGCGGCGUGCCUAAUACAUGCAAGUAGAACGCACAGUUUAUACCGUAGCUUGCUACACCAUAGACUGUGAGUUGCGAACGGGUGAGUAACGCGUAGGUAACCUGCCUGGUAGCGGGGGAUAACUAUUGGAAACGAUAGCUAAUACCGCAUAAUAUUAAUUAUUGCAUGAUAAUUGAUUGAAAGAUGCAACUGCAUCACUACCAGAUGGACCUGCGUUGUAUUAGCUAGUAGGUGAGGUAACGGCUCACCUAGGCGACGAUACAUAGCCGACCUGAGAGGGUGCUCGGCCACACUGGGACUGGGACACGGCCCAGACUCCUACGGGAGGCAGCAGUAGGGAAUCUUCGGCAAUGGACGAAAGUCUGACCGAGCAACGCCGCGUGAGUGAAGAAGGUUUUCGGAUCGUAAAGCUCUGUUGUAAGAGAAGAACGGGUGUGAGAGUGGAAAGUUCACACUGUGACGGUAUCUUACCAGAAAGGGACGGCUAACUACGUG